UGGGGAAUUUUGGACAAUGGGGGCAACCCUGAUCCAGCCAUUCCGCGUGAGUGAAGAAGGCCUUCGGGUUGUAAAGCUCUUUUGUCCGGAGCGAAAAGGUUACGGUGAAUAUCCGUGACUACUGACGGUACCGGAAGAAUAAGCACCGGCUAACUACGUG
RNAcentral lists this ribosomal RNA (160 nucleotides) under uncultured bacterium. RNAcentral's name for it is "partial 16S ribosomal RNA". It matches the Rfam family "Bacterial small subunit ribosomal RNA", at positions 355 to 507 of the family's 1533-position model. The record is from RNAcentral.